Molecule: long non-coding RNA, 627 nt
Filed under: Homo sapiens (human)
Lineage: Eukaryota; Metazoa; Chordata; Mammalia; Primates; Hominidae
Description: non-protein coding lnc-MOB3A-2:2
Source: RNAcentral
GCGCAGACCUGGAGGUGCAGGAGCGGGCGUCCUGCAUCCUGCAGCUGGUCAAGCACAUCCAGAAGCUUCAGGCCAAGGACGUGCCUGUGGCAGAGGAGGUCAGCGCUCUCUUUGCUGGGGAGCUGAACCCAGUGGCCCCCAAGGCCCAGAAGAAGGUUCCAGUCCCCGAAGGGUAAGGAUACGGGGGUGGGGGCAUUGCAACCAUGGCCCUGACAUGGUCCCUUGAUGCCUGGUGGCACAGCGGGGGCUCCUGCACCCCUGAACAGCCAGGAGGGUGUGGGGCUGAUUGGAGGCCUCAGGCGGGUAUAUCCCUCACACGGACUCACCAGGUCUCUCACUGGUUCUGGGAUCUGGCUUCUGCCUGGGGAUGCUCCCUGCGAAGUGGGCCUGCUCCCACCCUUGCCAUAAAGCUCUGAGGCAGCCUGAGCCUGCCGUGGGGGCCCCACUGUGACCCUGCCGCAGUCUUCCUGGGUCCCUGCGUCCUCUUAAGGGGCAGUGACACCUGCCUCGCUGGCCCUGUGUGGGUGGCAGGCCCCACUGUUUGGGAUAUCACAUGGCCAGGCACGUGGUGAGCCUGCUCAGGGCGGACGCCUGCAGGCGCGUGCUCGGUCACACACUGCCUUGUGU